AAUUAAUGAGUCUGAAUUAGACAUAUAUUUUGAAAAUAUAUUAAAGAAAAAUAUUUUUCUAUUAAUUU
RNAcentral lists this transfer RNA (68 nucleotides) under Osmia pedicornis. RNAcentral's name for it is "tRNA-Ser". Lineage: Eukaryota; Metazoa; Arthropoda; Insecta; Hymenoptera; Megachilidae. The record is from RNAcentral.